Molecule: ribosomal RNA, 1325 nt
Filed under: metagenome
Description: bacterial LSU rRNA
Rfam family: Bacterial large subunit ribosomal RNA
Source: RNAcentral
AGUGGAUGGGGAGCAACCUAGUUGUGCGUGUGUAAAGGUAGUGCCAAGAAAAGCGAUGAUCAUGUUGAAAAUCAAUUCCCGGUACCCGAAACCGACACAGGUGGGCAAGUAGAGAAUACUAAGGGGCGCGAGGUAACUCUCUCCAAGGAACUCGGCAAAAUGACCCCGUAACUUAGGGAGAAGGGGUGCCACCGAGAGGUGGUCGCAGUGAAGAGGCCCAGGCGACUGUUUAGCAAAAACAUAGGUCUCUGCAAACUCGAAAGAGGAGGUAUAGGGGCUGACGCCUGCCCAGUGCCGGAAGGUUAAAGAAGUUGGUCAGUUUUAGGAUGAAGCUAGCGACUGAAGCCCCGGUGAACGGCGGCCGUAACUAUAACGGUCCUAAGGUAGCGAAAUUCCUUGUCGGGUAAGUUCCGACCCGCACGAAAGGCGUAACGAUCUGGGCGCUGUCUCGGAGAGAGGCUCGGCGAAAUAGGAUUGUCUGUGAAGAUACGGACUACCUGCAUUUGGACAGAAAGACCCUAUGAAGCUUUACUAUAGCUUGGAAUUGUGUUCGGGCUUCCUGUGCGCAGGAUAGGUGGGAGGCGUAGAAGGUAUUCUUGUGGGGAUACUGGAGCCAACGGUGAGAUACCACUCUCAGGAGGCUAGAAUUCUAACUUAAUUAAGGACAGUUUCAGGUGGGUAGUUUGACUGGGGCGGUCGCCUCCAAAAAGGUAACGGAGGCGUACAAAGGUUCCCUCAGACUGGUUGGAAAUCAGUCGAAGAGUGCAAAGGCAGAAGGGAGCUUGACUGCGAGAAGUACAGUUCGAGCAGGGUGGAAACACGGUCUUAGUGAUCCGACGGUGCUGUGUGGAAGGGCCGUCGCUCAACGGAUAAAAGUUACUCUAGGAUAACAGGCUGAUCUCCCCCAAGAGUUCACAUCGACGGGGAGGUUUGGCACCUCGAUGUCGGCUCAUCGCAACCUGGGGCGGAAGUACGUCCCAAGGGUUGGGCUGUUCGCCCAUUAAAGCGGUACGUGAGCUGGGUUCAGAACGUCGUGAGACAGUUCGGUCCAUAUCCGAUGUACGCGUGAGAAUAUUGAGAGGAGCCUUCCUUAGUACGAGAGGACCGGGAAGGACGCACCGCUGGUGUACCUGUUAUGAUGCCAAUUGUAAACGCAGGGUAGCCAAGUGCGGAGAGGAUAACCGCUGAAAGCAUCUAAGUGGGAAGCCCACCUCAAGAUGAGUAUUCUGGUGUAAGGUCACGGGAAGACGACCCGUAAAUAGGCACGAGGUGGAAGUGCAGAGAUGUAUGAAGCCGAAGUGUACUAAUAGACCGUCGGCUUGACC